CGUGUAGGUGGUCAGGUAAGUCAGAUGUGAAAGCCUUCUGCUUAACAGAAGAAGUGCAUUUGAAACUGCUUGGCUAGAGUACGGGAGAGGAGAGUGGAAUUCCCGGUGUAGAGGUGAAAUUCGUAGAUAUCGGGAGGAACACCAGUGGCGAAGGCGGCUCUCUGGUCCGAUACUGACGCUGAGACGCGAAAGCGUGGGGAGCAAACAGGAUUAGAUACCCUGGUAGUCCACGCCGUAAACGAUGGGCACUAGGUGUAGGAGGUAUUGACCCCUUCUGUGCCGAAGCUAACGCAUUAAGUGCCCCGCUGGGGAGUACGGCCGCAAGGCUAAA
RNAcentral lists this ribosomal RNA (331 nucleotides) under uncultured bacterium. Its description in RNAcentral is "bacterial SSU rRNA". It matches the Rfam family "Bacterial small subunit ribosomal RNA", at positions 568 to 898 of the family's 1533-position model. The record is from RNAcentral.